GUACUUUCUUCAGCAUCACACAUACUAAAAUUGGAACAAUAUGGCAAAGAUUAGCAUGGUUCCUGUACAAGGAUGACAUGCAAAUUUUGAAGCACUCCAUAUGUUU
Molecule: small nuclear RNA, 106 nt
Organism: Ictidomys tridecemlineatus (thirteen-lined ground squirrel)
Lineage: Eukaryota; Metazoa; Chordata; Mammalia; Rodentia; Sciuridae
Source: Ensembl